Non-coding RNA from Ictidomys tridecemlineatus (thirteen-lined ground squirrel), 971 nucleotides. Lineage: Eukaryota; Metazoa; Chordata; Mammalia; Rodentia; Sciuridae. The record is from RefSeq and is a predicted model, not a curated record.
GGGCGUGGCCAGGUGGUUUCGCCUUAAAAUGGCUUCAAGCCUGAGGACAGCCAGAGCCAGCGGAAGGGCACACCACGGCACGACUAAUGUAGCUGUUCAGAUUCCGAAGCUCGCCCCACCACCGUCACCGCACCAGUGGCUCCAGCUUCGUGGGACCCACAGGGCUAAUCCUGCCCUGCGGAUCUAAUCCGGAUCGGGACCUGGUCCCAGGGGAGGUGCCCACCUUCCCUCCUAUUGUUCUGGGGCCCAGGUGCGCCCUCAGGCUGCAGAUGGCAAGAGUAGACAUGGAAGAGCUGGGGCUGGUGUCCCUCACUGGAACUCCAUGAGAGCUUUGGUGAGGGAGGACCUGGGUCCAUCGGGUAGGGCUGCAAUGGCGGUGAGUCCUACAGGACGCCCCAGCCCACGGCUUGCUAAAGAUAGCCCUUCACUUCCUGGGGAAAAACCACCCCAACCGUCUUCUUGGACUGAGAGUAGCUGAGGUCCCCAGCUUGCCGGUGGGCCCCUGCUAGCAGCUGUCUCCAGGUCUUUCGCCUGUGGCAUGGAAAGUGCUUUGGAAUGACACGAUCACUCCCGUUGAGUGGGCACCCAAGAAGCCAUCGGGAAUGUCGUGUCCGCCCAGUGCUCUUUCGGAGCCUUCCAACAGGGCCUCAUAACCCCAGACCAGAAAGGGACCUUGCUAACCUUUCCCUCUCCUUAGAAUUCCCUCUUUGUCCAACCUCUGGGCACGUCCCCUAUUCCAGAGAUCAUGAGUUAGGUUCAAUCGCUAUUAGAAGGGCAGCACAGGCUUAAGUUACAUUAAAAUGAAACCAUUUGGAAUCCUUUUGGUAUACAGAAAAAGAGCUUUCCUGCUCGUAUAAAAGCAGGAUACUCCUAUGACUUGUUUAGUUGAGUCUUCUCAUGGUCACAUUGUUUAUUUAUGUAUUAUUUUAAUGCUUACUCUUAGUAUUAAAGGUUCGCUAGUGAAGUACACA